CUUUUACAUGUGAGUUAGUGUCUACAACAUCUUCGCCAGGCGUCAGAGGCACAUGAAGGUUCAAAUGGCUCUGAGCACUAUGGGACUUAACAGCUACGGUCAUCAGUCCCCUAGAACUUAGAACUACUUAAACCUAAUUAACCUAAGGACAUCACACAACACCCAGUCAUCACGAGGCAGAGAAAAUCCCUGACCCCGCCGGGAAUUGAACCCGGAAGCGAGAACGCUACCGCACGACCACGAGCUGCGGACUGUCUUUUGUAGGCUAUUCAUCCUGAGAAUACCACUGCAGUAAAUUCUUCAGAAUUUGGGAAGGGAGAGUUUCCUUCCAGUCUGUCCCACAGGGAAAGAGAGUUUUUCUUUUUUCUUUUUUCAAAAUUUUGAAAACAUCUAAGGUGGGAGAUGUAAAGUUACACAAAUAGUUACUCCUGGAGUAUCAAUAUCUAUACCUUACUCGUAGCAGCCUAGCACUUGGAACCCUCAGUGAUUGAGAGAUUUGGAUUGGUACCAGCAGUCACGAGUGGUGCGGAAGGCAAGGAGCAGUGGGAUCAUGACUGGAGGUCAGAUAAGGUUGGACGAUAUGUGCCUGCAUGCUGUGAGAAGUUCACUAAGUCUGUUAGCUGUGAGAAGUUCACUAAAUCUGUUAAAUGUUGCAGUGUUCAUGGAAUGGACUGAGACCUCAUCAAUAUUAGCAAAAGUCAGUAGAAGCAAUGGUUGCCUCAGAAAAGUAAUAACAAGCUGAAAUAAGAGUGAAUGUCAGUAAUUUUUGACAGAAGUGUUUGGAAUGUGUGCCAUGCCUUGUACUACAGACAAUAAACCUAUCAGUUCUAUGAAGUCAGUGUCUCCUUUUCAAUCCUUUUCAUGUCUAUUAGAACUGAGUGUGAAGAUUUUUGACGGUAAGUGUGAUGGUUUUGAUAGGGCAUGUACUGGUAGGCACUCGUCCCAUUUUCAGUCUCCAGGUGCAUGUUUCUUGGGAGUAAGAUGCCCACUCUCAGCUGUGUAGCAUAAAUGUUGGUCCAAUCACAAUAGUUAUAUCAACACAGCUGGUUUUAGAGCGAGACUUGGAUAUGAUAGAUACAAAUAAGCAGUAGGCAUCUUUCAACAUGCCAGUGCUGUGGCAGCAUUGUGAAUUUGCCUAUAUACUCUG
Schistocerca nitens (vagrant locust) is the source of this 1147-nucleotide long non-coding RNA. RefSeq lists it as uncharacterized. The transcript has 3 exons. Lineage: Eukaryota; Metazoa; Arthropoda; Insecta; Orthoptera; Acrididae. The record is from RefSeq and is a predicted model, not a curated record.